UGGAAAUUAGUUGCUAGGAUGUAAUCUGUGU
RNAcentral lists this non-coding RNA (31 nucleotides) under Mus musculus (house mouse). The record is from RNAcentral. Lineage: Eukaryota; Metazoa; Chordata; Mammalia; Rodentia; Muridae.